GAUGAACGCUGGCGGCGUGCCUAAUACAUGCAAGUCGAACGCUUCACUUCGAUGAAGAGUGGCGAACGGGUGAGUAAUACAUAAGUAACCUGGCAUCUACAGGGGGAUAACUGAUGGAAACGUCAGCUAAGACCGCAUAGGUGUAGAGAUCGCAUGAACUCUAUAUGAAAAGUGCUACGGGACUGGUAGAUGAUGGACUUAUGGCGCAUUAGCUGGUUGGUAGGGUAACGGCCUACCAAGGCGACGAUGCGUAGCCGACCUGAGAGGGUGACCCGCCACACUGGGACUGAGACACGGCCCAGACUCCUACGGGAGGCAGCAGUAGUGAAUUUUCGGCAAUGGGGGAAACCCUGACCGAGCAACGCCGCGUGAAGGAAGAAGUAAUUCGUUAUGUAAACUUCUGUCAUAGAGGAAGAACGGUGGAUAUAGGGAAUGAUAUCCAAGUGACGGUACUCUAUAAGAAAGCCACGGCUAACUACGUGCCAGCCGCCGCAGUAA
Molecule: ribosomal RNA, 498 nt
Filed under: uncultured bacterium
Lineage: Bacteria
Description: partial 16S ribosomal RNA
Rfam family: Bacterial small subunit ribosomal RNA
Source: RNAcentral